UUGAACGCUGGCGGCAGGCCUAACACAUGCAAGUCGAACGGUAACAGGAAGCAGCUUGCUGCUUCGCUGACGAGUGGCGGACGGGUGAGUAAUGUCUGGGAAACUGCCUGAUGGAGGGGGAUAACUACUGGAAACGGUGGCUAAUACCGCAUAACGUCGCAAGACCAAAGAGGGGGACCUUCGGGCCUCUUGCCAUCAGAUGUGCCCAGAUGGGAUUAGCUAGUUGGUGAGGUAACGGCUCACCAAGGCGACGAUCCCUAGCUGGUCUGAGAGGAUGACCAGCCACACUGGAACUGAGACACGGUCCAGACUCCUACGGGAGGCAGCAGUGGGGAAUAUUGCACAAUGGGCGCAAGCCUGAUGCAGCCAUGCCGCGUGUAUGAAGAAGGCCUUCGGGUUGUAAAGUACUUUCAGCGGGGAGGAAGGUGUUGUGGUUAAUAACCACAGCAAUUGACGU
This 457-nucleotide ribosomal RNA is filed under the name Salmonella enterica subsp. enterica serovar Paratyphi B. RNAcentral's name for it is "bacterial SSU rRNA". It matches the Rfam family "Bacterial small subunit ribosomal RNA", at positions 30 to 475 of the family's 1533-position model. Lineage: Bacteria; Pseudomonadati; Pseudomonadota; Gammaproteobacteria; Enterobacterales; Enterobacteriaceae. The record is from RNAcentral.